Molecule: long non-coding RNA, 11871 nt
Filed under: Nicotiana tabacum (common tobacco)
Lineage: Eukaryota; Viridiplantae; Streptophyta; Magnoliopsida; Solanales; Solanaceae
Description: long non-coding RNA (NTAB_LNC010096)
Source: RNAcentral
AUAAAUGGAACUAAAGAAUAGGUAUUGUAAAGGGGGACGUACCCCGCCAUCCACAUGGAAUUUGUCAGAUCUCUCAUACAACAACAACGGCCCAGUGAAAUCCCAUUAGUGGGGUUGUUGGAUCUCUCAUACAGGAAAAAAAAUGAAUGAUAUUUGCUGUACAUGGAAUGUGGAAUGUAACAUUCUAAUGCAACAUCUCACAACCAAAGCUUAUAGUUUAGUGGUACUGGCAGAUGUCAUUCACACAAUAUAUGUGGGUUGGAUUCUCACUGUCCAAUUUUCCUCCCCUUUUCUCAUGUAAUAGAAAAUAAAAUAAAGAAUUAAAGAUACUCAACAUUCUCGUCGUCAAGGUUGGAGGUUAUUUCUUUCACACUGUUGACAAGCUCAACUGUUGCUUGCGAUUGAAUAUCUGAUGCCCAAUUGAAACUAUUUCACUUGAAAAUUCGUAUAAAGUUACCAAUUUGACUUUAUGUGAACUGUUAAUUGUACAUGAAGAGAGUUUUAUAAUUCAGACGAAGAAAAAUGAAAAGAUGCUGCCGGGACUACUACAAAGUCCAAGUUAUUUUUACCAAUCAAGAGACUUCGUGUGCUCAAAGAAGCUGUUGCUGAUGUCUCAAAAAUAACAAAGCCCAACUUAUUUUUCUACCACACCUGUCAAUUUGAUUCCAAUUUUUUCUUCCAAUCAUUGAGGUUUUAGAUUCUUAAAUAACAGAGCUCAUGUUAAGUUCUAACCAGCUUGUCCAACUAUUUUAAACCCCAAUUGCUUAUUCAAAGUACUUAUUGCUACAAGAAUUUUCUUGGAUUUUUUAAUUGGUGAAAGAAUAUAUAGAUAUGCCUUUUUUUCUUUCCAAGUUUUGCUGGAUUCUACUAAUCACAUAAAUUUAUUACGCAGAAUUUCUACUGGGCCUUCCUUGUUUAUGCAUUUGAUUUUUUUUUUUGAGGGGGGGUGGGGGGGUUGGUUCCGCGAAUAUGUUAUGCAUGUUCUAAGUAACUUGGUUAUUUUUAUAGUAGUGAGGUAUUCAAUUGAAGUAUUGAAUAUGUUAUGCAUGUUCUGAGCAACUUGGCAAAUUCGAGUUUUUUAGUCCUUUUUGCUCUUCCUCUAAGUCUUAACUUUCAGCUAAAUGUUGGUUGUGUCGGAGGAAGUAGAACUAUAUUUUCCAGUCUAUUUCAGUCUGAAUUUGGAUAAAUAAUUCUACAUUAAAUUGCUCAUUGAAUUGUCAAUUUAGCGUGACGAAUCAAGGAUAUGAACUUACAUUCAUUUUUAGAGGCUAAUACAAAUAUACUCGAUUUGAAGCCAUAUUAAUUAGCAGUGGAGAAGAUGACGACAACAACAACGACGACCCAGUAAAAUCCAACAAGUGAGGUCUGGGGAGGAUAGUGUGUACGCAGACCUUACCUCUAUCCCGAGGGGUAGAGAAGCUGUUUCCGAUAGACCCUCGGCUCAAGAAGACGAAAAGAGACAAUAUACAGCAGCAGAGAAGAUAGUAGCAAAAUACUUCUGAAAGAAUGGAGUAUCCAUGCAGUACAAUUCCAUGAGGAUUAUUGAAAGUACUCUUAGAGAACUUCCAGGUUUAAAGUGGUUAGAAGUGCUCUUAGAUUUCAAUUUUAUUUUAGAUAAGCAUGAUCUCUCCCAUUGUUCUUCAAUGUAGGUGAAUUCAAAAGUUGUUUUAAGGUCAAGUUGGUAAGAACAGGUAUAUUUCUGGUCAUACUAAUUGUAACUUUUAAAGGUUAAAAAACUUGGGUUUCUGUUGAAAUAAUUCUUGGAGUUUCCCAACGUUAAAAAGGACGUAGUUUCUGAUGCUCAUGAUUGAAGUAACAUCUUGAUUUAAUUUAGAGUUGAGCACCACCUAUAUGGAUUUUGUUCUAAAUAAAUAAUAUUCAGGCAGGGGCGGCUCUAAGGCUUUGGGAAGCGAGGCCAUUGCCUUAGGCCCCCAAAAUUUGAAGGCCCCAAAAUUAUUUUGAAUUCUUAUUAUUAUAGUUAUUAUAUACUAUAUAAUUUUUAUAAAUAAUUAGUAUAAAGAAAAAUAUUAUAAUAUAUUUUUAUUUACUUAAUUGAGGUUAUUUUAUACCAAUAAAUUUAUAAAUUAUGAUAAUUUUCUUCCACCAUUAAUUAGAUUAUUUGCUUCAUUCUUCAAUUUUAAUUUAUUCUUUUUAUACAUGAAUUAAGUUAUAUAUAUCGACAACAAAAUAAAUUUAUUUUAUAAUAUUCUCUGAAACUCCAUGAACACAAAAACAUUCAUGUACCGAUUUCUUUUGGUGUAAUUCGACAUAUUAUAUUAGGUUAUUUAUAAUUUAUUUUAGAUAUUCACCAAUAAGUGCUACUUUUUUUUUGGUCAAAAUAAUUUUUUUUAUUCAACCAAAUGUAUAUAUGUACAUCCUUUUGGACUCUAGGACUAGUCCUCUAUAGUCAAUACUUAUCUAAGUAGCAUCUUAAACUAUACAAAGAAUUUAAAGAACUUGCUACUUCUAUAUAGGAAAACAAUUCAGACUUUUUAACACUUUUUGCCAUUUGUGAUAUCUCUGCUCUCUAGUAUGCAGCUGGAGGACAAUUUCUCUCACUCUAUACGCACUCUCUUUCUUUUCCUGCUGGAACCUUCGGCUAAUUCGUUCAUGCCAGACAUGGUAGAUAGUAGCAGCAAACAACGAUCUUACAAUUUCUUGUCUUGCUCUGCCUCCCCGCGUUCUUUUAGUUAUCCAAUUUAGUUCUUCAUUCCAUGUAGUUAUCUAUCUAGGUUCUCCUAUCCAUCGCUGCAAGAUAGCCCAUAUAUAUAUCUUGAAUAGGUACAUCCAAAGAACAGAUGUGCAAACGUUUCAUCUUCACUUGAGUUGCAUAAAACAUAUUCCUUACGAACAUGAAUCCCCCAUCUUUCCAAUCGAUCAAUGGUAGCUAAUAGUUGUCGAACUGCAAGCCACAAUAUGAACUAAUGUCUUGGUAUCAACUGUGUUCCUAUAGUAAUGUAUUUCCAAGGGACUUUCUGGUACUGUGGACAUAGAGAUAGAUAUGCUUUCUUUAUGCUGAAACCUUCAUGUGUAGCACAUUGCUGCAGUUCCACUGUAAGGUCCUUGUCCUUAUACCAGUUCCUGGCAUCAAAAAUUUUCUCACAAGCCAGCACGCUUGUUUAGGUAUUAGCAUAGUGACUAAGUCCCUGUUUUUUUUACAUAGAAUCCAUGAAUCCAUAGUACCCAAAGAGACUCUUUUCUUGUGAUCACUGCCCAAAGAAGUUUACAUAUUGAUGCUUUGUUCCAUGUGUGAAAAUUGAUGAUAUUUAAAAUCUCCAGCUAACUUGGGCAUGCAUAGUUGUUCCUAUGACACUAGUGCCUUUCUUGAUGCAUCACAAUUGCAUGUCCAAAGAAAUAUUCUGCAGAUACUCGUUAGUAAUUGUAUUACUUUAAUAGGAAGACUUGAGCCCAAUAUGUUUGAAUCUCAAACAAUACGCUUUUGAUGAGUUGUAAUCUUUCACUAUAUGAUGGCAGCUCGGUAGUCCAGCAUAUGAUCUUUGAUAUCAUUCUCUCUACCAAGGGCAUACACUGCUGUAUAGUUAGUUUCCUAGCAGAGAAGGGAACACCAAGAUACUUAAAGGGCAUCUCCCCUAAAGUGAAUUGCAUUUCAGUCAAGAUUUGUUCCUUCAGGAUUGUUGAGACACCAGUGAUAUAUAAAGAACUUUUGUCCAGAUUUGCUCCGAGGCCAGAAACAUCUGAGAAGUGAUUGAAUGCUUGGAGCAGCAGCUGAAUUGAUAUUCUAUCCGCUCGACCACACAUUAUGAGAUCAUUCGCAAAGCAUAUAUGCACCAACUUUAUCUUCCCACACCUUGGAUGGUAGUUGAAGUCAGGGAUAUGUUGUAGUUGCUUGAGGGUCCUGUUCAAGUAUUCCAUAGCCAGAACAAAGAGAUAAGGACACAGGGUCCCCCUACCUCAGUCCCUUUUUAGCCACAAACUUAGGAGUAAGCCCUCCAUUGAUUAGGAGUGAGUAGCUCACUGUGGUAAUACAUUCAAUGAUCCAGUUCACAAACUUCCUAGGCAAGCCAAAUUCUAGUAGAACACUCUUUAGAAUACCCCACUCCACUGAAUCAUAUGUUUUCCUGAUGUCGAUUUUGAUUAGGCAUCUAGGUAAUAAUCCUUUUUGAGUAUAGCCCUUAACUAGCUCAUGAGCCAUUAUAACAUUGUCCAGUAUACUCCUCCCUGCUAUGAAAGCUGAUUGGGAUGGUCCAACUAAAGAAUCCGCUACUAUCUUCAACCUAACAGUGAGGAUUUUUGCUAUGAUCUUGUACAUGGUGGUACAACAAGCUAUAUAUCUAUACUCUCUCACAUAUGUUGGAUUAGAGACCUUGGGUACUAAUGUUAUUGUGUUACAGUUGAUCUCCUUUAACAGUUUUUCAUUAUCAAAAAAUUGUAGGAUAGCCUGAGUAACUUUUUCUCCUAUCAUUCCCCAAAACUCCUUAAAAAAUUCUGCAGUGAACCCAUCUAUUCCAGGAGACUUGUCAUUAGGUAAAUCCCUCAGUGCCUGGAGCACUUCCAUUUUUGGGACAAGUUGAAUAAGAGCUUGUUGUUUCUCUCUAUUGAGGCAUGGUCCAUCUUUGGCAUAGUAGGUGUUUAGGCAUGACACCUCAUGAGCAGUUGUUCCUAGCAGCCUUUGAAAGAAGUUUGUGAAUUCUUUUUGCACCUGUGUAGGCUCUAUUAGUUGCACUCCUUGAUCAUUCCAUAUUGAAACAAUACUAUUUCUAGCUUGUCUAGCUUUGAGUUGAGCAUGGAAGAACUUAGAGUUGGAAUCCCUAUGAUUGAUCCAGACAACUUUGGAUUUUUGUCUAAGCACUCUUUCAUGAAUAGUAGACAAUUUCUCUAGUUUCAGCAAUAUCUCUCUCUUCCAAAAUUAGUUGUGGAUUAUAGAGAUCAUUCCCUACUUCACUCUGGAUGUCACUAAGCUUUGACUAUAACUCCUUUAGUUUAUGAUCUAGAGAUGACAUUUCUCUGUUUAUGGUCUUAGUUGCCUGCUCAAUAUGCUUCAGCUUCUUGCAUACUCUGUACAUAGUAUACCAUGUGAUGUUAAUCUCCCAAGCUUUUUGAGUGGCCUCUUUGAAUGCUUCCUGAUGCAGUAGCACAUCCAGCAAUUUGAAGGGCUUGGGAAGUCUCUAUCUAGGCACAAUGGUAGAGAGGAGGAUGGGUGAGUGAUCUGAGCAUCCCUGAUUAAGAUAACAAGCUUUCAGAUUACCAUAAGUGGUGAACUAUUGAUCAUUGCCAAGAGCCCAGUCAAUUAAGCUAUAAAUUCUAUCCUCAGGAUUUUGCUUAUUGCUCCAUGAAAACUGACAUCCCUUCCUUCUGAUUUGGCGAAGCCAACUUCAUCUAUACAUUCCUGAAAAUCUUGUGUUUUUGCUUGCUGGAUAGGAGCCCCAUUAACUCUAUCAUGGACCGACAAAACAGUAUUGAAAUCCCCCAUUAUCAUCCAUGGUUCAGUUAUAUUAUUAUUGAUCCUUUUCAAUUGCUCCCAAAUUUGCUUUCUUACUUCAAUAGUGUUAUAACCAUAUAUAUAGGUGGUAUGGCAAGCAACUCUAGAAUAUUUGUCUUUCACAUAGCAGUGGACUACUUGAGGAUGUGAUGAUAGAAUCUUAACCGUAACCUGUUGUGGCUUCUAACAUACCCAUAUUCUGCCGUUAAGACUUGAGUGAUAGUCUGUAUCUAUAUCAGCCCCCAGUUUCCUCUUUAUUCUCUCAGCUUUAUUAGCUUUAACUUUCUCAAGGAAGCCAAUCAGAACCACCUUAUUCUUAAGCAGAAUGGAUUUUAAUUUUUUUUGCUUGAAGGGCUUAUUCAGCCCUUUAAUAUUCCAUGAUCCAAAAAUCAUGGAGGAUUCUUAUUGACUGGACUAGUAACCCUUACCAAAUUGCUAGUGGCUUUCUCUGUAUCUAUUUUUAAGGCAUUGAACUUAUUCUGUCUUAGCAUCCUUUCCAUUUCAAUACUUGCCUGUAUCUUAUCUUGUAUCUCUGGCAUCUGCAUUAGCUGCUUUCCUCUAUCAGUAUUGUUUGCUUUCUCCAUAGGCAUAUCUUCAUAUUUUUGGCCAGUUGUGAUCAGAUUGGCACCAUCAUUUGAAUUAUCAGGUUGCUCAGCUGUUGAUACCAGUAUCUGUGCAUUCCCCACAUCCUUGUUUGGGAUAGGAUCAGACUUGGCCCUCCAUUCCUUCUUUUGGUGGUUCCUUCCUUUGUUCACUUGUUGUUGCUCCAAGUUACCAGCAUUAUCUGGUGCCUUCUUACAGCUGCCUGUGACAUGUCUCAUUUGAAGACAUUCUUGACAAAAUAGAGGUUUCCAUUCAUAUUCCACAGCCUGCAUUCGACGUUGCCCAUUGGGCAUCUCUAAUGGAAUUUCGUCUGGCAAUGGUUGGGAUAUGUCCAUUUCAAUUAGCAUCCAAGCAUAAGCAAUUCUAUCUUCCUAUGUUGUAAGCUUAUCAGUGCAGAUUGGUCGUCCUAGACAACUGGCUAUUUUUCCCAAAUUUCUAGUAGUCCAAAAUUGGAUAAGUAAAUUUGGUAGCAUUACCCACAUAGGAAUGAUUUGGUCAGGCUCAUUACUCAUCUGAAAAUAUGAUCUCCAUUGCUUGAGCAUUAGAGGUCUGUGAUUGAAGGUAUACGGGCCAUUCUGCGGUAUUGUGUUCUUAUCUACCUCACAAUCAAGUUUGAACAUGAAGUACCCGUCGUUAUGGAGAAAUACCUGAGGGGUAGUGACUGAGUUCCAUACACAAAUUUUAGCAUCUCUUUGAAUGUAGGAUUUCCUCCAAUUACAUACCCAAUUAAGGCUAGACUCCAUUUCUGGUUCUGUGUUGCAAUUUCUUGUGGGUUCAAUUCAACUAACUUGACACCAUCCUUCAGUACCGGCGGGUGGUAGUCGAGUUUCAUACCCAAUUUUUGCUGUCGAUUCCCUUCAACCACUUCUGCCAUAGUAGGCUUAAUUUCACUAGAUUUGACCGAGAAAGUGAGCUUCCUCGCCGCAUUUGAAGCUCCUACUUCUGGAUCGUGUGGAGUCUCUUCCUUGAUUAGCGGAAUCGCCGUUUGCAUUACUGUUGGAGCACUUUCCAUCACUGGCAGCCAAUGCAUCAAUUGAAUCGGCGCUAGUGAUUGAGGAAUGCCAGAUUCUGGUGUUAUUUGCCUAGAUGUACCUUCGUUAGCUUUAGGUGAGGCCGGUGCCGGAGCAACCUGCCGCUUCUUCCUCGCCAUUUCGACUGGCGGCGCACGUUAGUAACCCUAACGUAACAUACACCGAGAGAGAAAAGCUUUUUUGGGUUCACUCUUUCAUUGUUGCUGCUGUUGAGUGCUCCCAAUAAGUGCUAUUUAAUAAACUACGAUUAUCAUUUAAAUUGAUUAAAGGAGUAAAUAAUUUUGAUAUCAUCAAUGUUCAAAACUUAAGCUAUUAUGUAUUUUUACUAUUUUUUCUUGUUUGUGAUGGUAACCAAUUCAAAAUUUUCACUUUGGGUUCUGGACCUAACAUCCUGUAGUCCACCACUUUAUUCUUUGUGCUCUUCUUCCUAUUUUUUUAUUUUUUUAAUUCGCUUUUUUGUAUUAAAUAAUUAAUUUGUUAUUUAAAAAGCAAAUUUUAUUGUUAGAGUAUAUAUUUAAUAAAAUAAAUUGAAAAGCCCCUCAAUACGGUUUUGCCUUAGACCACGAGAUCCGUUGAGCCGCUCCUGUAUUCAAGUUAGUAGCCGUGUCAUGCCAUAACUAUAUGGCAAAAUAAGUUGACAUCGGACAGCUCGGUGCACAAAGUAUUUUGUAUUCACGCAAGAUUCGAGGAAGGGCCGCUUCCCAAAGUGUGUAGUGUAAAUAGUCUAACCUAAUGCAAGCAUUAAUAGCUGAUGUAUCCCCCUUUCAGCAAGUUGACAUCAACAAGAUGAUUGUAUGGAGGUAAAAUUGAUAAACGACAGGUGGAUGCUCGGCGGGUUGACACGUAAAAGUAAAAGACAAGUACGAUAUGAGUCAACAAAUAGCUAACACCAGUUACGAAUAUGUGAUCGGUGCUAAAUAAUUUUCAAAGGCAUUGAAAUCGGGGACAAAAAGAAGAUAUCGGUUGGAAAAGAAAAUAUUCAAUGAGCAGCCGUUACAAAGAAUCUUUGCAUUAAUGCGCAACCAUUAUGCAGCCAUCAAGAGGGAUUUUAUUCAUAUUAAAGAAGAGCUUGAUUUGGGGUUGAUGUCUCCCUGGAUUGAGCUAUAAAUAGGAUAAUUUGCAUCCAUUGUUGGACACGAAACAUCUCCACAAAAAAAGCAAACCUAGCUCUUAUUCUGUCAAGCAACAUUCUCUCUUUUUAUUCUUCAUAUUGCUCUUAUUAUUGCUUUCGGAGAAGCUCAGCACACAGUCAGGCUUGUGUUUUUUUUAAUUUUAUUUAAUUAAUUCAUUUCUAUUCUUCAUUAUCUUAUAUUCUUGGAUCCAAUUCAUUCAUAUGUCUAUAAACCACGAUACAAAUUUAACUGUACCAUUUUUCGGUUAAACCGUUUGGUGCCCACAAUGGGGCAUACACAAUUUUGUUAUUACUUUAACCCAUUCAUCUGUUACUAACGCAUUUUUGAUGCUUUUCUUUAGUUAUUCAAAGAAAAAUAAAAUAUGACAGCUAACGAUGUAAACAACUCUUUCAAUGUUGGAAAAAACAAUGAGCGUGGGAAUAUGUUCUAGCGUGAUGAUUCAACCAGUGAAACUCGCAACAAAGGUGAUGAGAGAACUCCGGUUCACGAAGAAUGAAAUCUUCGGCAUGUGAGAAGUCCAACUCUUGAUGAUAUGGACAUGAACCUAUUGUUGAAACGAUAAAAGUUUUGAGAGCGCAACAAAGGAAAAUCAUAAAUCAUCUCUCGGGACAAGACCGUGAAUGACGGAGCUGAAACAAGCACUUUCGGUUGCUUCCAAUAAUUUCAAUAGCGUAGUUCGAGCCCUUUAGGGUGCCUGCAUAUCAAACGCGCAAAGAACCGGUAACAUAUAGCUUCGAGGGAGGAGCUCAAUUUUAUGAAAAUCAAGCAGGUGGUUCAGGAAGUGGAUCCGGGAAUAAUGACAAUACAAAUGAUCCUUUUAAAACCGAGCUCAUGAGAUUAUGAGAAAAAUGAAUGAACGAAUGGAUCAAAAUGCUAAAGAAUUUCAUGAUCGGAUGGAUCAAAUCCCGGGAGCACCACCCGUAUUGAAGGGUCGGAUUCGAAGAAAUAUACAUAGUUGCCUUUCAAACUAAGUGCGACCCCGGAGUUGAUUCUAAAGAGAUUCAAGAUGCCCGAUAUUCUGAAAUAUGAUAUAACUUCGGAUCCACAAAAGUACAUCACAACUUACACUAUGGUUCGGUAUCGGAUCAGUGGGCAGCUCAUGAAGUAUUCACCAAAGGUCUUAAUCAUUUGGCCCACAUGAGAUUGAAUCUAUGUAUGCAACUAUCAAUUUACUUAUUGAAGAUGGUUUUCAUUGAACAGUGAAUUACCUAUGAACAGAUGAAUUUUAUAUAUCGUGCAAUAUUUACGCUGUCGAAUAAAUUCAUUAAAGACAUUCGCAAGACAUAUUCAGAAGUUUCUUGGCCAAAUAAUUCAUUAAAGUAAAAAGUUUACAUAACGUACGUGAGAAUUAAUAUAAAACUUACUAUAACACGUGCAUGUACGAGUAGAGUCAAUCAAUUUACUAUAUUGGGCUACUCGUGCAGGCAAAAUUGGAAUGUGCACGUGUGUAUUGAUGACGUAUAUAACAUAUAUCCAGAAUCCCUAGUUUACAUCCAUACAGUAACAUAUGUCAUACUAUAUUAUACAUAUGUCAUACUAUACUAAUCAAUAAGAUUUUACAUUGCGUAUGCAUAAAAAUGUAAAUAUAUAGUCAUCUGAAAACUAUCAAAUUUCCCUAAAUUUCUUGAUAAACUAACCACCAUUUCCUUUGUGUACACGGCUAUAUAUGGAAGCAUUUGGAUUAAUAAAAUUCAAAUGAAAUAUUUGGUUCCAAAUUCAAGUUGUUCUUUGAAGGGAAUAGAAUAGAAGAAUGGUAGAAAAUUUGCUGUGUAUUACUUUCUUUGCAAGACACUGUAUAUAUACAAGUAUAUGUCACUCCAUAUCUAAAAUCCGAUGUAAAUAAGCUAUAAAAGAAAAUGAUAAAUGUCACACCUCCUUUUUACACACCCGAGAGUAUAUAGGGGACUUUUUCCAAUUUAAGUGACAUUAUUCGAAAUAAGAUUAUUUAUUCAAUUCAGAGUCGCCACUUGGAAUAUUUUAAUUGGUGUUCCAAGUCACCGGUUUAUUUUAAAUCCCAAAUCGAGGAAAUUUCGACUUUCCUUUUGAAGUCUGCGAACCAGAAAUUCUGAAUAAGGAAUUCUGUUAACCCGAGGGAAGGUGUUAGGCACCCCCGGAUUCCGUGGUUCUAGCACGGUCGCUUAAAUUAUCAUAAUUGGCCUAUUAUCUGAUUCUAAUACAUGUUUUAGCCUAUGGUACAUUUUAACUCGUUAAACCGCUUUUAGUUAUUUUUUAGGAAGAUUCAAUGUUAUUUAAAACACGUCUUGAACCACACCACAUGAAAUGCACCUGCGGUCCACGAUACAUUUUAUUUAACGUUGUUGAGAUUUGGAUUUGGGUCACAUGAAAUGCACACCCGAGUUUAAGGAAAUUAAUUUAAAUAGCGCGCCUAAAUCAACUACGCACUUUCAAGUUUGUGAGGGCCAUUGAAAAUUCAGCUAAUGACACACCUCGAUUUCUAAAGAGUUAAUAUUAAUUACAUGAGAGCCAUGGGUUAUUUAAUGAGAAUGACACCAAAUUAUUAGCUUAAAAUCCUAAAUCAAUGAACUGUUGGUUUGUCUCCAAUUAAAUUAUCCAUGUAGCAAUACCAAAAUUGUCUCACUAGAUAUUAUCCAAAACAUAACAACCAGGAGGAAUUCACAUUAUGAACAUUUAAAGCAUGAUUCAAUAUUUGACCACAUAAAGGUAAACCACACACAGUACUAAUAUUGGUUACAACCAAGCAAUUCAAACUAUUCUCACGUAAUUGUAUACCAAAGAUGGUUAUGUAUCAUUUAUUUACAUUCGGAAAUAUCUAUUUUACUAUAUGCUCUAUGAAUUGUCUUAAACAAAAAAAAUUAGUUACCCACUUAUUCUUUGGUUCACUUCAAAAAUUGCAAGAUGCCUCUGUCACUUAAUAUUCACAACAAACUCAUGGAAAAGUUCAUCACAACAAAGAAUUAAAAAACAUUCAAAGCUUUCUCAUCACAGAUGCAUUAUUAGAAUCCAAACAAACACAUUGAAAAGGAUUUAACGGGAAACGAAAAUUUUAAAACAAAAAAAAAAUCACUAAAGAAUUCAAAUAGCAAGGGUAAGAAUGAACCUUAAUAUUCAGUAAAUAAACUUCUUCAAUAGAUGAAAACACGAACCUCCCGACGUCAACAAACUAUAUGAAUUCCAAAGAUUACAACCCCAAUAAAGAGUCAAACAAGAUCCGUGACAUGAGCACUCGAACGACGAUCUCGACGGAACCUCCGAUUUUGGUGAUUUCGGAACUGUUUGCAGCUGGUUCGAUGGCUGAAGAAGCAGUGUGUUUCCGCUACAAUUUUGAAGCUAUUUUGGGGCUUAAUUUGGAGGUCGUUUUGGACAUGGGUUUUGGGGCGACGCAGCUGGUUUUAAAGCUGCAUUAAUGGAGAUUUUCGGACUGGUUUUAAUGGUGAAAAAGUCGUUGUUAUCUGGUGAAUUUUGAAGGUUAUUUGCUAGAGUUUUAUAUAGAAACAUGGACUGUGUUUGAGGUUGGAAGGAGGUAGAUCAAUGGUUGAUUUUUGAGAAAACUUUGUAGAUGCUUUAACAGAGUAAAAAGGUAUAGCUCAUGGUGUCUAUGAUGGCUUAAGGGAGGAUUGUCCCGUUUGGAGAGGAAGCACCAGAUUUUAUUGUGCAUUUUUGCUGAAGAAACGACAGAUCCAAA